This 491-nucleotide ribosomal RNA is filed under the name uncultured bacterium. Its description in RNAcentral is "partial 16S ribosomal RNA". It matches the Rfam family "Bacterial small subunit ribosomal RNA", at positions 29 to 506 of the family's 1533-position model. The record is from RNAcentral.
AGUGAACGCUGGCGGUAGGCCUAACACAUGCAAGUCGAACGGCAGCACAGUAAGAGCUUGCUCUUACGGGUGGCGAGUGGCGGACGGGUGAGGAAUACAUCGGAAUCUACUUUUUCGUGGGGGAUAACGUAGGGAAACUUACGCUAAUACCGCAUACGACCUACGGGUGAAAGCAGGGGAUCUUCGGACCUUGCGCGAUUGAAUUAGCCGAUGUCGGAUUAGCUAGUUGGCGGGGUAAAGGCCCACCAAGGCGACGAUCCGUAGCUGGUCUGAGAGGAUGGUCAGCCACACUGGAACUGAGACACGGUCCAGACUCCUACGGGAGGCAGCAGUGGGGAAUAUUGGACAAUGGGCGCAAGCCUGAUCCAGCCAUACCGCGUGGGUGAAGAAGGCCUUCGGGUUGUAAAGCCCUUUUGUUGGGAAAGAAAAGCAGCAGGUUAAUACCCCGCUGUUCUGACGGUACCCAAAGAAUAAGCACCGGCUAACUUCGU